This 543-nucleotide ribosomal RNA is filed under the name uncultured Hypocreaceae. Its description in RNAcentral is "eukaryotic LSU rRNA". The stretch from base 179 to 332 matches the Rfam family "5.8S ribosomal RNA". The record is from RNAcentral. Lineage: Eukaryota; Fungi; Ascomycota; Sordariomycetes; Hypocreales.
UAACGUUACCAAACUGUUGCCUCGGCGGGAUCUUCUGCCCCGGGUGCGUCGCAGCCCCGGACCAAGGCGCCCGCCGGAGGAAUCAACCAAAACUCUUAUUGUAUACCCCCUCGCGGGUUUUUUUUUUAUAAUCUGAGCCUUCUCGGCGCCUCUCGUAGGCGUUUCGAAAAUGAAUCAAAACUUUCAACAACGGAUCUCUUGGUUCUGGCAUCGAUGAAGAACGCAGCGAAAUGCGAUAAGUAAUGUGAAUUGCAGAAUUCAGUGAAUCAUCGAAUCUUUGAACGCACAUUGCGCCCGCCAGUAUUCUGGCGGGCAUGCCUGUCCGAGCGUCAUUUCAACCCUCGAACCCCUCCGGGGGGUCGGCGUUGGGGAUCGGCCUUCCUUCACGGGGGCCGUCUCCGAAAUACAGUGGCGGUCUCGCCGCAGCCUCUCCUGCGCAGUAGUUUGCACACUCGCAUCGGGAGCGCGGCGCGUCCACAGCCGUUAAACACCCAACUUUCUGAAAUGUUGACCUCGGAUCAGGUAGGAAUACCCGCUGAACUU